Ophiocordyceps sinensis CO18 is the source of this 112-nucleotide transfer RNA. It matches the Rfam family "tRNA". Rfam says of the family: Transfer RNA (tRNA) molecules are approximately 80 nucleotides in length. The record is from Rfam. NCBI's taxonomy places the organism in Eukaryota, Fungi, Ascomycota, Sordariomycetes, Hypocreales, Ophiocordycipitaceae.
GCGGGCAUAGCUCAGUUGGGAGAGCGUCAGACUGAAGUAUCACUUCAAUCCUCAGCUUGGAAAUCAUCCAUCUGUUAUCUGAAGGUCAUGUGUUCGAUCCACAUUGACCGCA